RNAcentral lists this ribosomal RNA (1451 nucleotides) under uncultured organism. RNAcentral's name for it is "SSU rRNA". It matches the Rfam family "Bacterial small subunit ribosomal RNA". The record is from RNAcentral.
GAACGCUAGCUACAGGCUUAACACAUGCAAGUCGAGGGGCAUCAGGAAGAAAGCUUGCUUUCUUUGCUGGCGACCGGCGCACGGGUGAGUAACACGUAUCCAACCUGCCCUUUACUCGGGGAUAGCCUUUCGAAAGAAAGAUUAAUACCCGAUAGUAUAAUGAUUCCGCAUGGUUUCAUUAUUAAAGGAUUCCGGUAAAGGAUGGGGAUGCGUUCCAUUAGGUUGUUGGUGAGGUAACGGCUCACCAAGCCUUCGAUGGAUAGGGGUUCUGAGAGGAAGGUCCCCCACACUGGAACUGAGACACGGUCCAAACUCCUACGGGAGGCAGCAGUGAGGAAUAUUGGUCAAUGGGCGCUAGCCUGAACCAGCCAAGUAGCGUGAAGGAUGAAGGCUCUAUGGGUCGUAAACUUCUUUUAUAUAAGAAUAAAGUGCAGUAUGUAUACUGUUUUGUAUGUAUUAUAUGAAUAAGGAUCGGCUAACUCCGUGCCAGCAGCCGCGGUAAUACGGAGGAUCCGAGCGUUAUCCGGAUUUAUUGGGUUUAAAGGGAGCGUAGGUGGACUGGUAAGUCAGUUGUGAAAGUUUGCGACUCAACCGUAAAAUUGCAGUUGAUACUGUCAGUCUUGAGUACAGUAGAGGUGGGCGGAAUUCGUGGUGUAGCAGUGAAAUGCUUAGAUAUCACGAAGAACUCCGAUUGCGAAGGCAGCUCACUGGACUGCAACUGACACUGAUGCUCGAAAGUGUGGGUAUCAAACAGGAUUAGAUACCCUGGUAGUCCACACAGUAAACGAUGAAUACUCGCUGUUUGCGAUAUACAGUAAGCGGCCAAGCGAAAGCAUUAAGUAUUCCACCUGGGGAGUACGCCGGCAACGGUGAAACUCAAAGGAAUUGACGGGGGCCCGCACAAGCGGAGGAACAUGUGGUUUAAUUCGAUGAUACGCGAGGAACCUUACCCGGGCUUAAAUUGCAGUGGAAUGAUGUGGAAACAUGUCAGUGAGCAAUCACCGCUGUGGAGGUGCUGCAUGGUUGUCGUCAGCUCGUGCCGUGAGGUGUCGGCUUAAGUGCCAUAACGAGCGCAACCCUUAUCUUUAGUUACUAACAGGUUAUGCUGAGGACUCUAGAGAGACUGCCGUCGUAAGAUGUGAGGAAGGUGGGGAUGACGUCAAAUCAGCACGGCCCUUACGUCCGGGGCUACACACGUGUUACAAUGGGGGGUACAGAAGGCAGCUAGCGGGUGACCGUAUGCUAAUCCCAAAAGCCUCUCUCAGUUCGGAUCGAAGUCUGCAACCCGACUUCGUGAAGCUGGAUUCGCUAGUAAUCGCGCAUCAGCCACGGCGCGGUGAAUACGUUCCCGGGCCUUGUACACACCGCCCGUCAAGCCAUGGGAGCCGGGGGUACCUGAAGUACGUAACCGCAAGGAUCGUCCUAGGGUAAAACUGGUGACUGGGGCUAAG